GUCGUUUUCUCCCUCCACCCACGGACAAUGUGUUUCAUUUCCUCCUACGCCCCCUUUUUUCUCCCCUUCCAAAUCACUGCCAUGGCCUCGUCGAUCUCGCCGACGAUCCUCAGCCGCAAUUCAUGCGCGCCGACGGAUACAUGCUUCAGCCACUGCAUCGAGCUCGCCGCCCCGCCUCUUCGACGACGACGCCCCACCGCAUCGACCUCGCCGGCCCGCCACCUCUCACUGGAAAUAGAUCGAGGUUGUAGGCGGCGCGGAGGGGGGAGGGGAUUCGGGGAUUCGUCUUCCUCGAUGACAAGCGGAAGUAUCCGGAUCGAUGCGGAUUUCAAUCAGGAAGACCUAGGGGAAGCUUGAAGAGAAGGGGGAUCGAGAGAUCAUUGAGGUUCGCAUCUGCCAGUCGAUAAGGUUCGUCUCUCCGAGGUGGGCGGACUGAGGGAGACGUUAAGUGGUGAAUCGAGCUGCGUAUGGAGAUCGCCGCCCCCGCCGUUUCGCCUGCAUUGAGCGGGUUGUGGAAGAUGGAUCUAGGCCAUUUCGUGUUGCUUCAAUGACGAGGCGGAAGGGGAUCCUGCGCUCGUCUUCCUCGCUGCUCCCAUCAUCUCAUCUUCGAUGACAAGGUGGAAGGGGAAUCCUGCGCUCCUCUUCCUUGCCACUCUGGGCGUGAACUGCGAGCAGAAUCGAAGAAGGAGAUGCGGACGGAGGCGUACGAGCUGAUCCUCUUCUGCAAUCUCUGCAUCUUCCCCUGUUUUCAUCGACCUUCCAUUUGUGCAUGCUGCAUCAGCUCAUCUGGUCGUCUUCAAUAUCAAAGCGGAAGGGCCUAGAGCUCUUCAUGCUCAGGAUCUGUCAAUCGAUUGGGUUUGCCUCAUCUUGAAUCUUCGAAUUCGUUGCAGAUAGAUUAAUUGCAUCAUAAAGGAGGUUACAUGAUUUUUUUUCUGCUCCAUCACAUGCUUUUUCGAUUCAGGUUUUUGGUAUUGUGCUACUAAGUAUCUAGCUGCUUUGUUUACAUGUUCUUCAUCAAGGGACGGAGGGAGUUCUGGAAGGUAUGGUGAUACAAGAGUCGAUGCGCAUGGGGGUUGCUAAACCCAUGCAAUUUUCGGGGGCAGCAACAUAUUUUGUGUUGAGGUCAGGCCAAGGCAGCUCUGAAAUAAGACCUGAACCACAACACUUCACAAGCAUUCAGCUUUGGAUUCGCGUCAAGUUUCUAGAGUUGGAGAAAAUUUCUUUUCUCUCAAUGCAAGGUUACUUAAGCGGUGUAGUUCGGGAGCAGGAACAAAAUCAUAUUUGAGGAAAUUUUGAACAUCCUGAUAUUUAAAGGUGGACCAUCGUUUGUGCAUUUGAGGUUUGCAUUUCCUGUUCGGAUUUUUAUUUGUUUAUCAUGCUUCGGCGACCAUUUCUUGCCUGCCUUCUUCUUGAUACUUCAGCCAUCAGUUUUAUAUAACUUGAAUUUGGAAGUUCAUGUGUUACUGGUCACUUCAUGCAAGCAUUAGACAGGUACCUACUUUUUCUACGUAAUUCAGUACAAGAUUUUUCAUGCCACAGCAAACUCCCAAGGAAUUAUAGAUGUAAUAAUCUCAUCAAGUUUGCAAUAGAUAAGUGCUAGUAGAAAAUUUAUAUAUUUCAAAUAAACGACUCGAGUUUUCAAAAGGAGAAACCGAAUCCCUAUGUCGUGGUGAUAGUCCCUGGAUCAGUAGCUAUCACAUACAGAACUCAUUUCAGGCAGUAAAUCAGUUCAUACUCACUUAAAGAGAUUCAAACACGGGUUUAAUUAUUACAAAAUCCAGAGGAAUU
Molecule: long non-coding RNA, 1788 nt
Organism: Panicum virgatum (switchgrass)
Lineage: Eukaryota; Viridiplantae; Streptophyta; Magnoliopsida; Poales; Poaceae
Exons: 5
Source: RefSeq, a predicted model, not a curated record